AGACGAACCGUCCAAACGUUAUUCGGUAUCACUGGGCUUAAAGCGUGCGUAGGCGGCCAUGAAGGUGUGAUGUGAAAGCCCACGGCUCAACCGUGGAAUUGCGUCGCAAACCACAUGGCUCGAGGAAGACAGGGGUGUCGGGAACUUAUGGUGGAGCGGUGAAAUGCGUUGAUAUCAUAGGGAACACCGGUGGCGAAGGCGCGACACUGGGUCUUUACUGACGCUGAGGCACGAAAGCUAGGGUAGCGAACGGGAUUAGAUACCCCGGUAGUCCUAGCCGUAAACGAUGAGCACUGGGUUGAGGGGACUUCCACAUUCUCUCGGCCGUAGCGAAAGCGUUAAGUGCUCCGCCUGGGGAGUAUGGUCGCAAGGCUGAA
Molecule: ribosomal RNA, 377 nt
Filed under: uncultured bacterium
Lineage: Bacteria
Description: bacterial SSU rRNA
Rfam family: Bacterial small subunit ribosomal RNA
Source: RNAcentral